UGGGGAAUAUUGCACAAUGGGGGAAACCCUGAUGCAGCGACGCCGCGUGAAGGAAGAAGUAUCUCGGUAUGUAAACUUCUAUCAGCAGGGAAGAAAAUGACGGUACCUGACCAAGAAGCCCCGGCUAACUACGUGCCAGCAGCCGCGGUAAUACGUAGGGGGCAAGCGUUAUCCGGAUUUACUGGGUGUAAAGGGAGCGUAGGCGGCGACGCAAGUCAGAAGUGAAAGCCCGGGGCUCAACUCCGGGACUGCUUUUGAAACUGCGUUGCUAGAUUGCGGGAGAGGCAAGUGGAAUUCCUAGUG
This 303-nucleotide ribosomal RNA is filed under the name uncultured bacterium. RNAcentral describes it as "bacterial SSU rRNA". It matches the Rfam family "Bacterial small subunit ribosomal RNA", at positions 355 to 675 of the family's 1533-position model. The record is from RNAcentral.